RNAcentral lists this ribosomal RNA (238 nucleotides) under uncultured bacterium. Its description in RNAcentral is "partial 16S ribosomal RNA". It matches the Rfam family "Bacterial small subunit ribosomal RNA", at positions 96 to 334 of the family's 1533-position model. The record is from RNAcentral.
CGGCGAACGGGUGCGUAACACGUGGGCAACCUGCCCCUGACACUGGGAUAACCCCGGGAAACCGGAGCUAAUACCGGAUACUCUCGGCCGAUCACAUGGCUGGCCGAGGAAAGGUCCGCCGGUCAGGGAUGGGCCCGCGGCCUAUCAGCUUGUUGGUGAGGUAACGGCCCACCAAGGCGACGACGGGUAGCUGGUCUGAGAGGACGACCAGCCACACUGGAACUGAGAUACGGUCCAG